AGCUCCAAUAGCGUAUAUUAAAGUUGUUGCAGUUAAAAAGCUCGUAGUUGGAUCUCGGGUUUAGGCUGGUGGUUCUGCUCAUGCAGAUACUGCUCGUCCUGACCUACCUGCCGGUUUUCCCUUGGUGCCCUUAACUGGGUGUCUCGGGUGGCCGGAACGUUUACUUUGAAAAAAUUAGAGUGUUCAAAGCAGGCAGUUCGCCUGAAUAAUGGUGCAUGGAAUAAUGGAAAAGGAUCUCGGUUCUAUUUUGUUGGUUUCCGGAACUUGAGGUAAUGAUUAAGAGGGACAGACGGGGGCAUUCGUAUUACGGUGUUAGAGGUGAAAUUCUUGGAUCGCCGUAAGACGAACUACUGCGAAAGCAUUUGCCAAGAAUGUUUUCA
RNAcentral lists this ribosomal RNA (380 nucleotides) under uncultured eukaryote. RNAcentral's name for it is "SSU rRNA". It matches the Rfam family "Eukaryotic small subunit ribosomal RNA", at positions 587 to 972 of the family's 1831-position model. The record is from RNAcentral.